Small nucleolar RNA from Sphaeramia orbicularis (orbiculate cardinalfish), 114 nucleotides. Ensembl annotates it as small nucleolar RNA SNORD67. The record is from Ensembl. NCBI's taxonomy places the organism in Eukaryota, Metazoa, Chordata, Actinopteri, Kurtiformes, Apogonidae.
UGUGAGGGUGAUGAGUUGCACUAAUCAGUUGGAGUGUUGGUUGCAGUGGCAUCGACGCUCCAAUCCGACUCAGCCUGAGGACACGCGACGUGCACAGGGGCCAUCUGACUCAAC